Ictalurus punctatus (channel catfish) is the source of this 1634-nucleotide long non-coding RNA. Lineage: Eukaryota; Metazoa; Chordata; Actinopteri; Siluriformes; Ictaluridae. The record is from Ensembl.
UACACACACACACACUCACACACACCUUGAUUUCUACUCUAUCUCAGUUCCUCCUGUCCUCGCAUUGUGUCCGUCUUCACACUCCUCUUACACACACACAGCAGCAGCACUGCACCUAUCAGAGCUCCAUAUGCGCACACACACUCCCAUGCUCUCUCUCUCUCUCACAUACACACAUGGUCACUGCAGCGUCCCGGUCUUCAUUAGCAGCACUGAGCUGAGAGGAUGCAGCGCUCUGGAUUCCAUAUCACACACACACACACACACACACACACACACACACACACACACACACACACCAACACACGCACGCACAGCUGUGAUGGAAGUCGCUACGGCCACUACAACGUGGACGUGGAAGCAGUGUUCUCCGAGCUCUCUCCUCUUCUCCUUCUCAUCUCAUGCCUUUUUCUUCACUUCUUCCUCUCCUCCUAUCCUUUGUGAGUGCCUGUGUAAAUGUAUGUAUGUAUGUAUGUAUGUGUGUGUGUGUGUGUGUGUGUGUGUAUGUGUGUGUGUGUGUGUGUGUGUGUGUGUGUGUGGGAGAGAGAGAGAGAGAGAGAGAGAGAGAGAGAGAGAGAGAGAGACACACAGAUGGUUGAACGAACAGUCGUCUGUGUGUGUUUUGGGUCAGGGCCGUGUUGCCUUGGCAUUUCGAUGUAAUGCUAAUACUGUGUAUAAUUUAAUUACAUUAGUGCUGUAGAGAACAGCAGAGAACACACUCUCUCUCUCUCUCUCUCCCACACACACACACACACACACACACAGUGUUGAUUCUGCGCAAGUGCACUGGAGUGAGUGGCACUGCUGAGAAACAGUUAAUCACACACAGCAAUGUCAUUAGCACAGGGCGUUGUGGGUAAGGACGUGCUGACUUUGGCCGUGUCAGGUGUUCCUGUGCUGCUUAAUGUGGACUCCUGCUUAACACGCACAGAAGAACACACACACACACACACAAUAAUUAUGGGUUGACUACAAGAAAGAAAUGAUGGGCAGUGAGGCUUCAAUGCUUCAGUGCUGACAAACCUACUGACCUAGAACAACACACACACACCAAUAUAAAGGACCAAAGGAGGUCACACGAGUUACAUUCAUGUAGGAGUGUAAAAAUAAAUGUUACAGUUUUACAGGGGUUUUUUUUACUAUAAAAUAAAUAAAUAAAUGAGUUAUUAUUCGUGGACAUUCGGAAGUCCAUUCAAAAUCAAACCAGAUCACAUACACCAGUAAAAACAAAACAAAAUCGUCAGGAAGUUUGUCAGUAGCUGCAUUUGCAGCUGACCCAAAAGCCAAGUCCAUAUACUUGGCGCAUCGGGGGGUUCUGGUUCGCGUUAAAUAUAGUCGCUGGUUUUCUCUGCUGGGACCUCAGAUUGGGUCAGAGGUAGAAAUGGAGUGGGCAGGGAUGUGAAAAGAGAAAUGGCGGGUUUGAAUUUAGCACAGGAACAUGCAUUUUUAUUCAUAACAUAAAGUCUUUCCGGAUGUACGGUACAGUCUCCUCAUGCACGCGAAACAUGGCUUAACACCUACUUCAUUACAUAUCAUUAAAGCUUAUUAUUCAGUAGCUAAUAGUAAUUAUUCAGUGAAACUAAUAGGAAUGAUGUACAGUUAUGAGAAUAGUUUGUGAGUCUGGACACACUGAU